AUGGUUGGACGAGAUAUUAACUGUUUCAUUUAAAAUUUUUGUAGAAUUUUAUUUUUUAGUCAAAAAGCUAAAAUUUAUUUAAAAGACGAGAAGACCCUAUAAAUCUUUAUAUUUUUUUUUAUUUUAAUUAUAAAGAUUAAUUAAAUUUUAAUAAAAAAAAAUAUUUUAUUGGGGUGAUAUUAAAAUUUAAAAAACUUUUAAUUUUUAAAAACAUUAAUUUAUGAAUAAAUGAUCCAUUAAUAAUGAUUAAAAAAUUAAGUUACUUUAGGGAUAACAGCGUAAUUUUUUUGGAGAGUUCAUAUCGAUAAAAAAGAUUGCGACCUCGAUGUUGGAUUAAGAUAUAAUUUUGGAUGUAGCCGUUCAAAUUUUAAGUCUGUUCGACUUUUAAAUUCUUACAUGAUCUGAGUUCAAACCGGUGUAAGCCAGGUUGGUUUCUAUCUUUAAAAAAUUGUGAUAUUUUAGUACGAAAGGACCAAAUAUUAAAAUAAUUAUAUUUUUUAUAAGAAUAUUAUUAAUGU
RNAcentral lists this ribosomal RNA (518 nucleotides) under Drosophila simulans. Its description in RNAcentral is "partial 16S ribosomal RNA". The stretch from base 270 to 429 matches the Rfam family "Bacterial large subunit ribosomal RNA", at positions 2473 to 2632 of the family's 2925-position model. The record is from RNAcentral. Lineage: Eukaryota; Metazoa; Arthropoda; Insecta; Diptera; Drosophilidae.